RNAcentral lists this ribosomal RNA (942 nucleotides) under uncultured archaeon. Its description in RNAcentral is "bacterial SSU rRNA". It matches the Rfam family "Archaeal small subunit ribosomal RNA", at positions 1 to 922 of the family's 1478-position model. The record is from RNAcentral.
UUCCGGUUGAUCCUGCCGGACCUUACUGCUAUCGGGGUGGGACUAAGACAUGCGAGUCGAGCGUCUCUAGCUAUGUUGAGACGCGGCAGACUGCUCAGUAACACGUGGCUAACCUACCCUCAGGACGAGGAUAAACCCGGGAAACUGGGGCUAAUACUCGAUAGGUGAGAAUGUCUGGAAUGAUUUCUCACUCAAAGGGCCUUGGGAACAUGCUUCCAAUGUCGCCUGGGGAUGGGGCCGCGUCCGAUCAGGUUGUUGGUGAGGUAAUGGCUCACCAAGCCUAUAACCGGUACGGGCCGUGAGAGCGGUAGCCCGGAGAUGGGUACUGAGACAAGGACCCAGGCCCUACGGGGCGCAGCAGUCGCGAAAACUCCGCAAUGCACGAAAGUGUGACGGGGCUACCCCGAGUGCCAUCCGCUGAGGGUGGCUUUUCUUUGGUAUAACUAGCCGAGGGAAUAAGGAGAGGGCAAGACGGGUGUCAGCCGCCGCGGUAAUACCAGCUCUCCGAGUGGUAGGGAUGAUUAUUGGGCUUAAAGCGUCCGUAGCCGGCUUAGCAAGUCUCCUGUUAAAUUCAGCGACCUAAUCGUUGAGCCGCGGGAGAUACUACUAGGCUAGGAGGCGGGAGAGGUCGACGGUACUUCUGGGGUAGGGGUGAAAUCCUAUAAUCCCGGGAGGACCACCAGUGGCGAAGGCUGUCGACUAGAACGCGCUCGACGGUGAGGGACGAAAGCUGGGGGAGCGAACCGGAUUAGAUACCCGGGUAGUCCCAGCCGUAAACGAUGCAUGCUAGGUGUUGGGUUGGCCACGAGCCACCCCAGUGCCGCAGGGAAGCCGUUAAGCAUGCCGCCUGGGAAGUACGAUCGCAAGGUUGAAACUUAAAGGAAUUGGCGGGGGAGCACCACCAGGCGUGAAGCCUGCGGUUUAAUUGGAGUCAACGCCGGG